AUUGAACGCUGGCGGCAUGCCUUACACAUGCAAGUCGAACGGCAGCACGGGAGUAAUCCUGGUGGCGAGUGGCGAACGGGUGAGUAAUGUAUCGGAACGUGCCCAGUCGUGGGGGAUAACGUAGCGAAAGCUACGCUAAUACCGCAUACGAUCUAUGGAUGAAAGCGGGGGAUCGCAAGACCUCGCGCGAUUGGAGCGGCCGAUAUCAGAUUAGGUAGUUGGUGGGGUAAAGGCUCACCAAGCCGACGAUCUGUAGCUGGUCUGAGAGGACGACCAGCCACACUGGGACUGAGACACGGCCCAGACUCCUACGGGAGGCAGCAGUGGGGAAUUUUGGACAAUGGGCGCAAGCCUGAUCCAGCAAUGCCGCGUGCAGGAUGAAGGCCUUCGGGUUGUAAACUGCUUUUGUACGGAACGAAACGGCGAGCUCUAAUACAGUUUGCUAAUGACGGUACCGUAAGAAUAAGCACCGGCUAACUACGUGCCAGCAGCCGCGUAA
Molecule: ribosomal RNA, 499 nt
Filed under: uncultured bacterium
Lineage: Bacteria
Description: partial 16S ribosomal RNA
Rfam family: Bacterial small subunit ribosomal RNA
Source: RNAcentral